RNA transcript from Lagenorhynchus albirostris (white-beaked dolphin), 5735 nucleotides. It is a transcript of the gene named dedicator of cytokinesis protein 5-like, with no coding region annotated. The transcript is spliced from 46 exons. The record is from RefSeq and is a predicted model, not a curated record. Lineage: Eukaryota; Metazoa; Chordata; Mammalia; Artiodactyla; Delphinidae.
CUUGCGGGGCCAGUCCAUCUUCAGUGCCGUGCAUACCUACGGCCUCUAUGUGAACUUCAAGAACUUUGUCUGCAACAUUGGGGAAGACGCAGAGUUGUUCAUGGCCCUCUACGACCCGGACCAGUCCACGUUCAUCAGUGAAAACUACCUAAUUCGCUGGGGCAGCAAUGGAAUGCCCAAGGAGAUCGAGAAGCUUAAUAACCUUCAAGCGGUCUUUACUGACCUCAGUAGCACAGACCUCAUCCGGCCCCGCAUCAGCCUCGUGUGCCAAAUUGUCCGGGUUGGCCACAUGGAGCUGAAGGAGGGCAAAAAGCACACAUGUGGACUCCGAAGACCCUUUGGAGUAGCAGUGAUGGAUAUUACCGAUAUCAUACAUGGGAAGGUGGAUGAUGAAGAAAAGCAACAUUUUAUUCCCUUUCAGCAAAUUGCCAUGGAAACCUAUAUCCGGCAGAGGCAGCUAAUCAUGUCGCCCCUGAUAACAUCUCAUGUGAUUGGGGAGAAUGAGCCACUCACUUCAGUCUUGAAUAAAGUGAUAGCAGCCAAGGAAGUGAAUCACAAAGGACAAGGACUUUGGGUGUCCUUGAAGCUCCUGCCGGGGGACCUCACACAGGUUCAGAAAAACUUUUCACACUUGGUGGAUAGAUCCACAGCAAUCGCCCGGAAAAUGGGCUUUCCUGAAAUAAUCCUUCCAGGAGAUGUUCGGAAUGAUAUUUACGUCACCCUGAUCCAUGGGGAGUUUGACAAAGGGAAAAAGAAGACACCGAAGAACGUGGAGGUGACCAUGUCUGUGUUUGAUGAGGAGGGCAGGCUCUUGGAGAAAGCAAUUCAUCCUGGUGCUGGAUACGAAGGCAUUUCCGAGUACAAAUCAGUGGUCUAUUACCAAGUCAAGCAGCCCUGUUGGUAUGAGACUGUCAAGGUAUCCAUUGCUAUAGAAGAAGUUGCUCGCUGCCAUAUAAGAUUUACCUUCCGACACCGGUCAUCUCAGGAAUCCAGAGAUAAAUCGGAGCGAGCCUUCGGGGUGGCCUUCGUGAAGCUGAUGAACCCGGACGGCACCACCCUGCAGGACGGGAGGCAUGAUCUGGUGCUUUAUAAGGGUGACAACAAGAAAAUGGAAGAUGCUAAAUUCUACCUGACCCUGCCUGGAACCAAAGUGGAGAUGGAAGAAAAGGAGCUCCAGGCAUCCAAAACCCCAGGCAACUUUACGCCAAACAAGGAUAGCACAAAAGAUAGCUUUCAGAUCGCCACCCUCAUCUGCUCCACAAAGCUCACUCAGAACGUUGACCUGUUAGGCUUGUUAAAUUGGCGUUCGAACCCUCAGAACAUUAAACACAACUUAAAGAAGUUAAUGGAGGUGGAUGGAGGAGAAAUUGUUAAGUUUUUGCAAGAUACGCUAGAUGCACUUUUUAACAUAAUGAUGGAAAUGUCAGACGAUGAAGCAUAUGACUUCCUUGUGUUUGAUGCACUGGUGUUUAUUAUUUCACUGAUAGGCGACAUCAAGUUCCAGCAUUUCAAUCCCGUCCUGGAGACCUACAUUUACAAGCACUUCAGUGCCACUCUGGCCUAUGUGAAACUCUCCAAGGUACUGAACUUUUACGUGGCGAAUGCAGAUGACUCCAGCAAGACAGAAUUGCGUUUCGCUGCUUUGAAAGCCUUAAAGUACUUGUUUAGGUUCAUCAUCCAAUCUAGAGUGCUCUACUUGAGAUUUUAUGGCCAAAGUGAAGAUGGAGAUGAGUUUAGUAAUUCAAUCCGCCAGUUAUUUCUCGCUUUCAAUAUGCUGAUGGACAGGCCUCUGGAGGAAGCUGUCAAGAUCAAGGGGGCAGCCUUGAAGUACCUUCCUAGCAUCAUUAAUGACGUCAAACUUGUGUUCGAUCCAGUUGAGCUCAGCGUACUCUUCUGCAAGUUCAUUCAGAGCAUCCCUGACAACCAGUUAGUUCGCCAGAAACUGAACUGCAUGACCAAGAUAGUAGAGAGCAAUCUUUUCCGGCAGUCGGAGUGCAGAGAUGUGUUGUUGCCUCUGCUGAUAGACCAGCUCAGCGGCCAAUUAGACGACAACUCCAGCAAGCCUGACCAUGAGGCCAGCUCGCAGCUUCUGAGCUACCUCCUGGAAGUUCUGGACAGGAAGGAUGUGGGUCCCACGGCGCUCCACGUACAGCUGAUAAUGGAACGGCUGCUGCGAAGGAUCAACCGGACCGUGAUUGGGAUGAGCCGACAGUCUCCCCACAUCGGGAGUUUCAUUGCUUGCAUGAUUGCCAUCCUGCGGCAGAUGGACGAGAGCCACUACAGCCACUACAUCAGCACUUUCAAGACCAGACAAGACAUUAUUGACUUCCUCAUGGAAACUUUUAUCAUGUUUAAGGAUCUAAUUGGAAAGAACGUCUACGCCAAAGACUGGAUGGUGAUGAAUAUGACACAGAACAGGGUUUUCCUCCGUGCCAUAAAUCAGUUUGCUGAGGUUCUCACAAGGUUCUUCAUGGAUCAGGCAAGCUUUGAACUUCAGCUCUGGAACAAUUACUUCCAUUUGGCAGUCGCUUUUCUCACCCAUGAGUCCCUUCAGCUUGAAACCUUCUCACAAGCCAAGCGCAACAAAAUUGUAAAAAAAUACGGGGACAUGAGAAAGGAAAUCGGCUUUAGGAUCCGGGACAUGUGGUAUAACCUGGGUCCCCACAAAAUCAAAUUCAUCCCAUCCAUGGUGGGUCCCAUUCUGGAGGUCACACUGACCCCCGAAGUAGAGCUCCGGAAAGCCACCAUCCCCAUUUUCUUUGAUAUGAUGCAGUGUGAGUUCAAUUUCAGUGGAAAUGGCAAUUUCCAUAUGUUUGAGAAUGAGUUGAUCACAAAGCUGGACCAAGAGGUGGAAGGGGGAAGAGGAGAUGAACAAUACAAGGUCCUUCUGGAAAAACUGCUUCUAGAACAUUGCCGGAAACAUAAAUACCUCUCCAGCUCCGGAGAAGUAUUCGCGCUCCUGGUCAGCAGCCUCUUAGAGAAUCUCUUGGACUACAGGACCAUUAUCAUGCAUGACGAGAGCAAGGAAAACCGCAUGAGCUGUACCGUUAACGUGCUGAAUUUUUACAAAGAAAAGAAGAGAGAGGACAUCUACAUAAGAUACUUGUACAAGCUGCGGGAUUUGCACCGGGACUGUGAGAACUACACCGAAGCUGCCUACACACUCCUCCUACAUGCUGAGCUCCUGCAGUGGUCUGACAAGCCCUGUGUACCCCAUUUGCUUCAGAGGGACACUUACUAUGUGUAUACCCAGCAAGAGCUUAAAGAGAAGCUGUAUCAAGAAAUCAUAUCGUAUUUUGACAAAGGCAAGAUGUGGGAGAAGGCAAUCAAGCUGAGCAAAGAGUUGGCUGAGAAUUAUGAGAGCAAAGUAUUCGACUACGAGGGCCUGGGUGAUCUCCUGAAAAAAAGAGCCUCAUUUUAUGAGAACAUCAUUAAGGCAAUGAGGCCUCAGCCUGAAUACUUUGCUGUUGGCUACUACGGACAGGGCUUUCCUUCUUUCCUACGGAACAAGAUCUUCAUCUACCGGGGGAAGGAGUACGAGAGGCGAGAAGACUUCAGCCUGCGGCUGCUGACCCAGUUUCCCAACGCCGAGAAGAUGGCCAGCACCACGCCCCCAGGAGAGGACAUCAAGUCCUCCCCCAAGCAGCACAUGCAGUGUUUCACCGUAAAGCCAGUGAUGAGCCUGCCGCCCAGCUACAAAGAUAAACCAGUUCCAGAGCAGAUCUUAAACUACUACAGAGCCAAUGAAGUACAGCAGUUCAGAUAUUCUCGGCCGUUCCGGAAAGGAGAAAAGGAUCCCGACAAUGAGUUUGCUACCAUGUGGAUUGAAAGGACCACGUAUACGACUGCCUAUACCUUCCCUGGGAUUCUCAAGUGGUUUGAAGUCAAACAGAUUUCAACAGAAGAAAUCAGUCCUCUGGAGAAUGCCAUUGAAACCAUGGAGCUCACCAAUGAGAAGAUCAGCAACUGUGUCCAGCAGCACGCCUGGGACCGGUCCCUCUCCGUGCAUCCCCUCUCCAUGCUGCUCAGUGGCAUCGUGGACCCGGCUGUCAUGGGGGGCUACUCCAACUAUGAGAAGGCUUUUUUUACAGAAAAGUACUUGCAGGAGCAUCCUGAAGACCAGGAGAAGAUCGAGCUGCUAAAGCGACUAAUAGCGUUGCAGAUGCCUCUGCUGACAGAGGGGAUCCGCAUCCAUGGGGAGAAGCUGACGGAGCAGCUGAAGCCACUGCACGACCGGUUGUCUUCUUGCUUCCGGGAACUCAAGGAGAAAGUGGAAAAGCUCUAUGGGGUUAUAACACUGCCGCCCAACUUGACGGAGAGGAAGCAAAGCCGCACAGGGUCUAUGGUGCUCCCCUACAUCAUGUCGUCCACACUGCGGAGAUUGUCCAUCACCUCGGUGACGUCCUCUGUGAUCUCCAGCUCUUCUAACUCAUCUGAUAAUGCUCCUUCCAGACCAGGAUCUGAUGGGUCCAUCCUGGAGCCCCUUUUGGAGCGCAGGGCCUCGUCAGGGGCCAGAGUGGAAGAUCUGUCCCUCAAAGAGGACAGUGAGAACCGGAUGAGCAAGUUCAAGAGAAAAGACUGGAGUCUGAGCAAAUCCCAGGUCAUCGCAGAGAAAGCAUCAGAACCUGAUCUGAUGAGCCCAGCCAGAAAAGCACAAAGGCCAAAGAGUCUCCAGCUGUCGGACAAUCGGCUGACACCGUUUCAUGGCUCUUCCCCGCCUCAGUCAACACCCCUGAGCCCACCCCCGCUCACUCCUAAAGCGACCAGGACCCUGAGCUCUCCAUCUUUGCAGACAGACGGGCUGAUGAUGGCUACAGUCCCACCUCCCCCUCCACCCAAAAGCAAGCCCUACGAGAGCAGCCAGAGGAACUCCACAGAGGCCGUGUAGAUAAACUCAGAUCAGUGAGAAGCUAAUGCAGAAUGUUGGAAAUGUGGAGUAGAAGGCAGAAUUAGGAAGAAAGAAAGCUUUUCUUUGAUCGAUGCCCGAGGCCACGCCAUAUCUCCUCCAGUCCAUGAGGAAUCCCGGAAUCGGCCGUGCCCCGUGUUUCUCCCUCACCAUUAUUACAUUUCAGCCUCUAGCACAGUCCCACUGGGGUCUACGAAAGCCUGGAUAACUUCAUCAGUGGUGGUGGGAAAACCCCAGUAACCUAUUCCUUGGAGGAAUCUUUUGCUUUGCUUCUGAAAAGCUGUGCUUAAGACGUAGUUUUCUCACGUGGACAUACCUUGUUCCAUACAACAUAUUGGAAGAGACCAACAUCAAGUACUUUGGUAGCUGGAAUCAUCUAUCUUUCUGAGGUCUCCUGUGUCUCCUCUGUGGAAAAGAACAUCUUUUUAAUGGAAAUCGGCUGCUUUCAAGUAUGAAUGGCUAUCAUUAUCGAAAGAACAUGGACUCGGUCGUGAGCCCUGAGCACCUGUGUCCCCCCACCCAGCUGUGACAUGGAAAAGCUUCCCUCCUUCCCCCGGCCCCGCGCCAGGAGUUCCCUCACACUCCCGACUAAUGGUCCUAACUGCAUGGCAGUCACUCCUUCCUACCAUGGACUCCUGAGGCUCUGUCUUUUGCACACAGUUUCUUGUGCUGUUACCUCCUCUGAGCUCAAAUCACUGGAUAUAAGGGACUUAGAAGUCCGGAUUGAACUGCUUCUCUUCCACAUCCCAUUGGAAUGGCUCGGCAGCCCCUGUCUGCAACCUGAUUUUACCUUGGAGAAUACAGUGCAAUAUCUCGCUUUGAUUAUUUA